This 241-nucleotide ribosomal RNA is filed under the name uncultured Staphylococcus sp. RNAcentral describes it as "partial 16S ribosomal RNA". It matches the Rfam family "Bacterial small subunit ribosomal RNA", at positions 99 to 334 of the family's 1533-position model. The record is from RNAcentral. Lineage: Bacteria; Bacillati; Bacillota; Bacilli; Caryophanales; Staphylococcaceae.
CGGACGGGUGAGUAACACGUGGAUAACCUACCUAUAAGACUGGGAUAACUUCGGGAAACCGGAGCUAAUACCGGAUAAUAUUUUGAACCGCAUGGUUCAAAAGUGAAAGACGGUCUUGCUGUCACUUAUAGAUAGGUCCGCGCUGCAUUAGCUAGUUGGUAAGGUAACGGCUUACCAAGGCAACGAUGCAUAGCCGACCUGAGAGGGUGAUCGGCCACACUGGAACUGAGACACGGUCCAG